Molecule: ribosomal RNA, 450 nt
Filed under: uncultured bacterium
Lineage: Bacteria
Description: partial 16S ribosomal RNA
Rfam family: Bacterial small subunit ribosomal RNA
Source: RNAcentral
GUGGGGAAUAUUGGACAAUGGGCGAAAGCCUGAUCCAGCCAUGCCGCGUGUGUGAAGAAGGUCUUCGGAUUGUAAAGCACUUUAAGUUGGGAGGAAGGGUAGUAACCUAAUACGUUGCUACUUUGACGUUACCGACAGAAUAAGCACCGGCUAACUUCGUGCCAGCAGCCGCGGUAAUACGAAGGGUGCAAGCGUUAAUCGGAAUUACUGGGCGUAAAGCGCGCGUAGGUGGUUCAGUAAGUUGGAAGUGAAAUCCCCGGGCUCAACCUGGGAACUGCCUCCAAAACUACUGGGCUAGAGUACGGUAGAGGGUAGUGGAAUUUCCUGUGUAGCGGUGAAAUGCGUAGAUAUAGGAAGGAACACCAGUGGCGAAGGCGACUACCUGGACUGAUACUGACACUGAGGUGCGAAAGCGUGGGGAGCAAACAGGAUUAGAUACCCUUGUAGUCC